This 72-nucleotide transfer RNA is filed under the name Camelus bactrianus (Bactrian camel). It matches the Rfam family "tRNA". Rfam says of the family: Transfer RNA (tRNA) molecules are approximately 80 nucleotides in length. Their secondary structure includes four short double-helical elements and three loops (D, anti-codon, and T loops). Further hydrogen bonds mediate the characteristic L-shaped molecular structure. tRNAs have two regions of fundamental functional importance: the anti-codon, which is responsible for specific mRNA codon recognition, and the 3' end, to which the tRNAs corresponding amino acid is attached (by aminoacyl-tRNA synthetases). tRNAs cope with the degeneracy of the genetic code in two manners: having more than one tRNA (with a specific anti-codon) for a particular amino acid; and 'wobble' base-pairing, i.e. permitting non-standard base-pairing at the 3rd anti-codon position. Lineage: Eukaryota; Metazoa; Chordata; Mammalia; Artiodactyla; Camelidae. RNAcentral also lists the same sequence under 2 other names. The record is from Rfam by way of RNAcentral.
GAGGGUAGAAUUCAGUGGUAGGGUGCAUGCCUAGCAUGCAUGAGGUGCUGGGUUCAUUUCCCAGUACCUCCA